RNAcentral lists this microRNA precursor (61 nucleotides) under Jaculus jaculus (lesser Egyptian jerboa). Its description in RNAcentral is "miRNA (ENSJJAG00000006396.1)". Lineage: Eukaryota; Metazoa; Chordata; Mammalia; Rodentia; Dipodidae. The record is from RNAcentral.
UGUGGUAGUCCACUGGAGACCAAGGAGUCUUGCUCCUGAGGCCCCUGCUCCUGGCCCACAG